RNAcentral lists this ribosomal RNA (642 nucleotides) under uncultured bacterium. RNAcentral describes it as "bacterial SSU rRNA". It matches the Rfam family "Bacterial small subunit ribosomal RNA", at positions 56 to 679 of the family's 1533-position model. The record is from RNAcentral.
UGCAGUCGAGCGGAACGAGUUGUCUGAACCUUCGGGGAACGAUAACGGCGUCGAGCGGCGGACGGGUGAGUAAUGCCUGGGAAAUUGCCCUGAUGUGGGGGAUAACCAUUGGAAACGAUGGCUAAUACCGCAUAAUAGCUUCGGCUCAAAGAGGGGGACCUUCGGGCCUCUCGCGUCAGGAUAUGCCCAGGUGGGAUUAGCUAGUUGGUGAGGUAAGGGCUCACCAAGGCGACGAUCCCUAGCUGGUCUGAGAGGAUGAUCAGCCACACUGGAACUGAGACACGGUCCAGACUCCUACGGGAGGCAGCAGUGGGGAAUAUUGCACAAUGGGCGCAAGCCUGAUGCAGCCAUGCCGCGUGUAUGAAGAAGGCCUUCGGGUUGUAAAGUACUUUCAGCAGUGAGGAAGGUGGUGUACUUAAUACGUGCAUCAUUUGACGUUAGCUGCAGAAGAAGCACCGGCUAACUCCGUGCCAGCAGCCGCGGUAAUACGGAGGGUGCGAGCGUUAAUCGGAAUUACUGGGCGUAAAGCGCAUGCAGGUGGUUUGUUAAGUCAGAUGUGAAAGCCCGGGGCUCAACCUCGGAAUUGCAUUUGAAACUGGCAGACUAGAGUACUGUAGAGGGGGGUAGAAUUUCANGUGUAGC